Molecule: transfer RNA, 76 nt
Filed under: Bacillus cereus
Lineage: Bacteria; Bacillati; Bacillota; Bacilli; Caryophanales; Bacillaceae
Description: tRNA-OTHER
Source: RNAcentral
UCCGGAGAUUAGCUCAGCUGGUAGAGCUACGCUGUUACAACGAUCGGUCGUAGGUUCGAUUCCUACUGCGGAGCCA